RNAcentral lists this long non-coding RNA (558 nucleotides) under Homo sapiens (human). RNAcentral describes it as "non-protein coding lnc-NOC4L-2:1". The record is from RNAcentral. Lineage: Eukaryota; Metazoa; Chordata; Mammalia; Primates; Hominidae.
CAGAAAUUAAAGUAGAAUAAACAACAACAAAACCAAAAGACCUUUUUACUUUGACGCAGUUUUAGAUUCCCAGGACGUUGCACAGAAAAUCCGGACGGAUCCUGUGCCCUCCGCCCAGCUCCCGGGGUCACAGGCAGCCUCGGCUCCGACCCCGCCGGGCGCGCGGUGACCGGCUGUGCGGGUUCCAGGGGCGGAUGUGCGCUUUGCCCGGCCCCUCUCCCGCCGCGCGGCCGCUCCUCCUCUCCGCCAAGGGCCGGUUCAGGCACAGGCCCCGCCGAGGCUGCCCCUGACUUGAGGGCUCACGCACCGGGCUGCUUGCGGCUCUGGACUAUUGUGAAUAAGGCCGGUACCUCAGCACAGCUCUGCACCUCGGAGGACUCGGGGAAGUUUCUGGGCCUAUUUGGGCAAUAGGAGAAGGUCAUGGGCUGUCUUUCCAAAAUUCACGUCCACCCAGAACCCCCGAAUGAGACCUAUUUAAAGAGAAGGCCUUAGCUGAUGGAACAUUAAGAUGAGGCCACCCUGGAGCAGGGUGGGCCCUGAAUCCGAGGCUGCUGUCCC